CCUACGGGAGGCAGCAGUGGGGAAUAUUGCACAAUGGGGGAAACCCUGAUGCAGCGAUGCCGCGUGAGUGAAGAAGUACUUCGUUAUGUAAAGCUCUAUCAGCAGGGAAGAAAAUGACGGUACCUGACUAAUAACCCCCGGCUAACUCCGUCCCAGCAGCCGCGGUCAUACGUAGGGGGCAAGCGUUAUCCGGAUUUACUGGGUGUAACGGGGGCGCAGAUGGCAGCGCAAGCCAGGGGUGAAAGCCCGGGGCCCAACCCCGGGACUGCUCUUGGAACUGGGCGGCUGGAGUGCAGGAGGGGCAGGCAGAAUUCCUGGUGUAGCGGUGAAAUGCGUAGAGAUCAGGAGGAACACCGGUGGCGAAGGCGGCCUGCUGGACGGCGACUGACGUUGAGGCCCGAAAGCGUGGGGAGCAAACAGGAUUAGAUACCCUUGUAGUC
RNAcentral lists this ribosomal RNA (440 nucleotides) under uncultured bacterium. RNAcentral's name for it is "partial 16S ribosomal RNA". It matches the Rfam family "Bacterial small subunit ribosomal RNA", at positions 338 to 795 of the family's 1533-position model. The record is from RNAcentral.